AGAGAGAGUUUCGUUUAUUAGUGUUCUGUGAUUUCAUCAAGUAUUCUAUAUGACCGUCGACUAACUAUAGUACUAUAGUUAAUAAUAAUUGUUGCUUCAUCUCUGUGGAGCCAUAUAGUUGUUGGAAAAAACAAAUUAUUGAAAUCUGUUUAUAGAAGUUGAAAAUGGCUGGAGGUGAUGCUAACGUCGAUACUUCAAAGCUGACUGGAUUAAAUAAAAUAUUCAAUGGGCAAACGAUUAGGGGAAGAGCACAUGUAGCCAUGGCCACAUAUGCUGGUGUAGGACUGAUCAUAGCUUAUUUUUCAUUGAAACCUAAAUCAAAGAAGUGAAUAUUUUCAAAUUAGUUUCUCGUAAUAUUAUCAUGUCUGUUUUAGAGAAUUGUAUGUUGCAAAUUCAAUAAAAUUAUUGUAUGAUUUUUUUCCCA
Long non-coding RNA from Leptinotarsa decemlineata (Colorado potato beetle), 424 nucleotides. NCBI's taxonomy places the organism in Eukaryota, Metazoa, Arthropoda, Insecta, Coleoptera, Chrysomelidae. The record is from RefSeq and is a predicted model, not a curated record.